Molecule: ribosomal RNA, 505 nt
Filed under: uncultured bacterium
Lineage: Bacteria
Description: bacterial SSU rRNA
Rfam family: Bacterial small subunit ribosomal RNA
Source: RNAcentral
AGUGAACGCUGGCGGCAGGCCUAAUACAUGCAAGUCGAACGGCAGCACAGCAGAGCUUGCUCUGUGGGUGGCGAGUGGCGGACGGGUGAGGAAUACGUGGGAAUCUGCCCAGUCGUGGGGGAUAACGUAGGGAAACUUACGCUAGUACCGCAUGCGCCCUUCGGGGAAAGCCGGGGGACCUUCGGGCCUGGCGCGAUUGGAUGAGCCCACGUCGGAUUAGCUAGUUGGCGGGGUAAAGGCCCACCAAGGCGACGAUCCGUAGCUGGUCUGAGAGGAUGAUCAGCCACACUGGAACUGAGACACGGUCCAGACUCCUACGGGAGGCAGCAGUAGGGAAUAUUGGACAAUGGGCGCAAGCCUGAUCCAGCCAUGCCGCGUGAGUGAAGAAGGCCCUCGGGUUGUAAAGCUCUUUGUCCGGAAAGAAAAGCGCCGGGUUAAUACCCUGUGUCCUGACGGUACCGGAAGAAUAAGCACCGGCUAACUUCGUGCCAGCAGCCGCGGUAAU